CAGGGAGCGCCCUCAGCCCUGGAAUGGCGCCGCCAGCGUUCUGGCUCUCAGGAAGGGGCGGGCGCGGAGCUGUUGCAAACUGCGGCCUAGGUCACAUUUCCUGAAGAAAUUAUGGCCUUUCAUGCUUGAGCUUUACACACUUUCAAGCCUGAUCCACAAGAAGAGACAUCUCACCUGUGACACACACAGCAGCCUGUGAGCUCCAUGUGAUAUCCAGGUGUUAGGAAAGUAAAGGACUUGUUGCUACAAUUGUCUUUUUAAGGCUCAGUUUCAGCGAUCUCAGAGCCAGAGGGAGGCUGACAAAGCUUGAGAAGAAGGAUGCCCAUUGCCAGGGGACAAAAAGGAUGCAGGAUUUAGGGGCCAUAAAGACAUCUGGUAGAACUGCCAAGAUAAGGAAAACUCGGAUAAAGUAAACUCGGCACAUAGGCUGAACUCAGCUCCAGCUGGGUAAAAAAAGAGUGUGAUGUUUGCAGGCAACAGGGCUUUGGCACCAACAUCAUCCUGGGCCUGACCAUGGGAUGGUCCUGGUCACCAGAACACAGGUUACAGCUGUUGGAGUUACUGAGGAAAAUGUCAUAUGGAAUAGCCUCAUUUAUUUUGACAAAAACCAGUCUUCAUGCUGUGAUGGUAAUGGUAGGUAGUGAAAAGAGAGCUGCCUGUUGGAUUAUUCAACCUGUUGGCACCUACCAAAUGUGUCAACAUUUUACACAAAAAAAAAAAUAAAUUAGACAAUACCUGAGACAAAAAAGGCUUCUUAUAUUCUGUGUGCUAACAAAUACUUGUCUGUUUAUAUAACCUUAUUUGAGCUCUGGGGGAUAAAGUAACUUUUAGAAAAGCUUCUUUUAUACUGGAGUAGUGCUUUAAACUUAAAGACAGUAGUUCUUACAUUGUAAAGGAGAUGUAAUAAAAAUAUCUUCUAUUGAAGCA
Molecule: long non-coding RNA, 927 nt
Filed under: Parus major (Great Tit)
Lineage: Eukaryota; Metazoa; Chordata; Aves; Passeriformes; Paridae
Description: lncRNA (ENSPMJG00000004332.1)
Source: RNAcentral